UAUGUGUUUUUGUAUUUUUUUUCUCACUUAUUGAUGAUUUCUCAUGCUAGAGCUUGUAUUUAUUAUUUUAUUUUUUUGGAAUUUUAAAAUUAUUCUUCAUCAAUGUAGGUCAUUGCUUCAUGUACCCUUACACUUUUUUUCCUUCCUGAACUUAAAUAUUUUCAUUUUACCCUUUAGAAAAUAUUUAAUUAAAUCUUUUUUUUAUCAACAGAUGAUAGUUGUCCGUUUUUGUUAGUGAUGAAAGUUAAACCCGUAAUCUUUUUCAGUCUCCUUUCUAAACUCUUUAAACUAACCAUAUAUCUUCUUCCAAAUAUUAGUGAGAGGAAUUGAAUCCAUAACCUCUCACACCAUUCUUCUAACUUUAAUUAUUAGGUCAAUCUUAUAACUUCAGUCAAACCCUAAUUUGAAAUCCAAUUUUCGUCUUGUGUCCCUCCAUCUACCCUUUGUUCCUUCCCUGUCCCCUUACAUUUUGCCUCCCUCUACAUUGUGCCUCCCUUCCCUCUACAUUGUGCCUCCCUUUAUCAAGAACACUCCUUCACCCCUUAUUGAGGCAUGUCAACAUGUUAUGGCAUAAGCCCAACACCACAAUUCUAAGGGAGGAAGAAGACAUUAGAAGUAGGUGCAUACAUUCACGAUUCGUUGUUCCGAAAAAUAUUUUUUUCCCACUACCAAAAUUUGUCUCAUGCAUUUGAGCCUAUCCACCCCAAAUUAAUG
Molecule: long non-coding RNA, 714 nt
Filed under: Vigna radiata
Lineage: Eukaryota; Viridiplantae; Streptophyta; Magnoliopsida; Fabales; Fabaceae
Description: long non-coding RNA (VRAD_LNC009348)
Source: RNAcentral